RNAcentral lists this ribosomal RNA (496 nucleotides) under uncultured bacterium. RNAcentral's name for it is "partial 16S ribosomal RNA". It matches the Rfam family "Bacterial small subunit ribosomal RNA", at positions 28 to 506 of the family's 1533-position model. The record is from RNAcentral.
GAUGAACGCUGGCGGCGUGCCUAAUACAUGCAAGUCGAGCGAACAGACGAGGAGCUUGCUCCUCUGACGUUAGCGGCGGACGGGUGAGUAACACGUGGAUAACCUACCUAUAAGACUGGGAUAACUUCGGGAAACCGGAGCUAAUACCAGAUAAUAUAUUGAACCGCAUGGUUCAAUAGUGAAAGACGGUUUUGCUGUCACUUAUAGAUGGAUCCGCGCCGCAUUAGCUAGUUGGUAAGGUAACGGCUUACCAAGGCAACGAUGCGUAGCCGACCUGAGAGGGGGAUCGGCCACACUGGAACUGAGACACGGUCCAGACUCCUACGGGAGGCAGCAGUAGGGAAUCUUCCGCAAUGGGCGAAAGCCUGACGGAGCAACGCCGCGUGAGUGAUGAAGGUCUUCGGAUCGUAAAACUCUGUUAUUAGGGAAGAACAAAUGUGUAAGUAACGAUGCACGUCUUGACGGGACCUAAUCAGAAAGCCACGGCGAACUACGU